AUUGAACGCUGGCGGCAGGCCUAACACAUGCAAGUCGAGCGGAUGAAGGGAGCUUGCUCCUGGAUUCAGCGGCGGACGGGUGAGUAAUGCCUAGGAAUCUGCCUGGUAGUGGGUGAUAACGUCCGGAAACGGGCGCUACUACCGCAUACGUCCUGAUGGAGCAAGUGGGGGAUCUUCGGACCUCACGCUAUCAGAGGAGCCUAGGUGGGAGUAGCUAGUUGGUGGGGUUGAGGCCUUCUAAGGCGACGAUCCGUAACUGGUCUGAGAGGAUGAUCAGUCACACUGGAAGUGAGACAGGGUCCAGACGCCUAAGAGAGGCAGCAGUGGGGAAUAUUGGACAGUGGGCGAAAGCAUGAUCCAGUCAUCCCGCGUGUGUGAAGACGGUCUUCGGAGUGUAAAGACCGCUAUGGUGGGAGGAAGGGCAGUAAGUUGAUACCUUGCUGGUGUGACGUUAACAACAGAAUAAGCACCGGCUAACUUCGUG
Molecule: ribosomal RNA, 484 nt
Filed under: uncultured bacterium
Lineage: Bacteria
Description: partial 16S ribosomal RNA
Rfam family: Bacterial small subunit ribosomal RNA
Source: RNAcentral